This 77-nucleotide transfer RNA is filed under the name Vibrio cholerae. RNAcentral describes it as "tRNA-Arg". It matches the Rfam family "tRNA". Rfam says of the family: Transfer RNA (tRNA) molecules are approximately 80 nucleotides in length. Their secondary structure includes four short double-helical elements and three loops (D, anti-codon, and T loops). The record is from RNAcentral. RNAcentral also lists the same sequence under 1 other name. Lineage: Bacteria; Pseudomonadati; Pseudomonadota; Gammaproteobacteria; Vibrionales; Vibrionaceae.
GCGUCCGUAGCUCAGCUGGAUAGAGUACCUGGCUACGAACCAGGCGGUCAGAGGUUCGAAUCCUCUCGGAUGCGCCA